CCUACGGGUGGCUGCAGUGGGGAAUAUUGCACAAUGGGCGCAAGCCUGAUGCAGCCAUGCCGCGUGUGUGAAGAAGGCCUUCGGGUUGUAAAGCACUUUCAGCGGGGAGGAAGGCGGUGAGGUUAAUAACCUCAUCGAUUGACGUUACCCGCAGAAGAAGCACCGGCUAACUCCGUGCCAGCAGCCGCGGUAAUACGGAGGGUGCAAGCGUUAAUCGGAAUUACUGGGCGUAAAGCGCACGCAGGCGGUCUGUCAAGUCGGAUGUGAAAUCCCCGGGCUCAACCUGGGAACUGCAUUCGAAACUGGCAGGCUAGAGUCUUGUAGAGGGGGGUAGAAUUCCAGGUGUAGCGGUGAAAUGCGUAGAGAUCUGGAGGAAUACCGGUGGCGAAGGCGGCCCCCUGGACAAAGACUGACGCUCAGGUGCGAAAGCGUGGGGAGUAAACAGGAUUAGAUACCCGUGUAGUC
RNAcentral lists this ribosomal RNA (465 nucleotides) under uncultured Klebsiella sp. Its description in RNAcentral is "bacterial SSU rRNA". It matches the Rfam family "Bacterial small subunit ribosomal RNA", at positions 338 to 795 of the family's 1533-position model. Lineage: Bacteria; Pseudomonadati; Pseudomonadota; Gammaproteobacteria; Enterobacterales; Enterobacteriaceae. The record is from RNAcentral.